This 397-nucleotide ribosomal RNA is filed under the name uncultured bacterium. Its description in RNAcentral is "partial 16S ribosomal RNA". It matches the Rfam family "Bacterial small subunit ribosomal RNA", at positions 523 to 918 of the family's 1533-position model. The record is from RNAcentral.
AUACGUAGGUGGCAAGCGUUGUCCGGAAUUAUUGGGCGUAAAGCGCGCGCAGGUGGUUCCUUAAGUCUGAUGUGAAAGCCCCCGGCUCAACCGGGGAGGGUCAUUGGAAACUGGGGAACUUGAGUGCAGAAGAGGAUAGUGGAAUUCCAAGUGUAGCGGUGAAAUGCGUAGAGAUUUGGAGGAACACCAGUGGCGAAGGCGACUGUCUGGUCUGUAACUGACACUGAGGCGCGAAAGCGUGGGGAGCAAACAGGAUUAGAUACCCUGGUAGUCCACGCUGUAAACGAUGAGUGCUAAGUGUUGGGGGGUUUCCGCCCCUCAGUGCUGCAGCUAACGCAUUAAGCACUCCGCCUGGGGAGUACGGUCGCAAGACUGAAACUCAAAUGAAUUGACGGGG